AACGCACCUUGCGCUCCUUGGUAUUCCGAGGAGCAUGCCUGUUUGAGUGUCAUGAAAAUCUCAACUCUACUGGCUUUUAUUUUAUAAGCUAGUCUGGCUUGGAUUUGUGGGAGUUGCUGAUCCUUAUUAUUAUAUAUGAUUCAGCUCUUCUUAAAAGCAUUAGCAAAAUAGACUGCUAAAACUCGCUUGAUAUGAUAACCAUCAAUAUCAUUGAGAUCCUGCAUGUGGAUUUUGCUUCCAAUUGUGUCUGCAUAAGACAUAUAUAAUAAAUAUUUGACAAUUUUGACCUCAAAUCAGGUAGGACUACCCGCUGAACUUAA
This 320-nucleotide unclassified non-coding RNA is filed under the name uncultured fungus. RNAcentral describes it as "sequence contains ITS2". The stretch from base 1 to 52 matches the Rfam family "5.8S ribosomal RNA", at positions 103 to 154 of the family's 154-position model. The record is from RNAcentral. Lineage: Eukaryota; Fungi.